RNAcentral lists this ribosomal RNA (1256 nucleotides) under Corethron hystrix. RNAcentral describes it as "partial Bacterial large subunit ribosomal RNA". It matches the Rfam family "Bacterial large subunit ribosomal RNA", at positions 523 to 1793 of the family's 2925-position model. Lineage: Eukaryota; Bacillariophyta; Corethrophyceae; Corethrales; Corethraceae. The record is from RNAcentral.
ACCCCGGAAGGGGAGUGAAAGAGAACCUGAAACCGUGUGUCUACAAGUAGUCAAAGCACAUUAAAGUGCAAUGGCGUGCCUUUUGUAGAAUGAACCGGCGAGUUACGUUAUCUAGCGAGGUUAAGUCAGAAAAGACGGAGCCGGAGCGAAAGCGAGUCUGAAGAGGGCGAGAAGUUAGGUGACGUAGACCCGAAACCAAGUGACCUACCCAUGACCAGGCUGAAGGCGUGGUAAAACGCGCUGGAGGGCCGAACCCACGUAAGUUAAAAAUUGCGGGGAUGAGUUGUGGGUAGCGGUGAAAUUCCAAACGAACUUGGAGAUAGCUGGUUCUCUCCGAAAUAGCUUUAGGGCUAGCCUCGUGGAGAGGAUAAUGGAGGUAGAGCUCUGUUUGGACUAGGGGCCCGUCAGGGGUUACUGAAUCCAGAUAAACUACGAAUUCCAGAUAUCUAUACACGGGAGUCAGACUGCGAGUGAUAAGAUCCGUAGUCGAAAGGGAAACAGCCCAGAUCACCAGUUAAGGUCCCCAAAUCUAUGCUAAGUGGAAAAGGAUGUGGAGUUGCGUAGACAACUAGGAUGUUGGCUUAGAAGCAGCCACCAUUUAAAGAGUGCGUAAUAGCUCACUAGUCGAGUGGCGCUGCGCCGAAAAUUUACCGGGGCUAAGCAUAGUACCGAAACUGUGGAUGUACGUAAGUACGUGGUAGGAGAGCGUUCUAAGUGCGGCGAAGGUUAACCGAGAGGAUAAUUGGAGCGCUUAGAAGUGAGAAUGCCGGUAUGAGUAGCGAAAGAUAGGUGAGAAUCCUAUCCGCCGAAAGACUAAGGUUUCCUGGGGCAGGCUCGUCCGCCCAGGGUAAGUCGGGACCUAAGGCAAGGCCGAGAGGCGUAGUCGAUGGAUAACAGGUAGAGAUUCCUGUACUGUGUUCAAUCGUUAAGAGCGAAGGAGGGACGCAGGAGGUGAAGCACGCAUCGCGAUGGAACGAUGUUCAAGCGACAAGUGCGGUUAAGAGUCAAAUGCUUCUAACCAGCAACACGAGUCGUGAUGAGGAGCGAAGUAAAAGUAGCGAAGGUGUGGUAGUCACACUGCCAAGAAAAGCUUCUAGCCAGAGAGAACAUACCCGUACCGCAAACCGACACAGGUAGUCGAGUGGAGAACACUCAGGUGAGCGAGAGAACUCUCGUUAAGGAACUCGGCAAAAUGACCCCGUAACUUCGGGAGAAGGGGUGCUGAUAGUAAAAUAUCAGCCGCAGUGAAUAGGCCC